GAUGAACGCUGGCGGCGUGCCUAAUACAUGCAAGUCGAGCGAACAGACGAGGAGCUUGCUCCUCUGACGUUAGCGGCGGACGGGUGAGUAACACGUGGAUAACCUACCUAUAAGACUGGGAUAACUUCGGGAAACCGGAGCUAAUACCGGAUAAUAUAUUGAACCGCAUGGUUCAAUAGUGAAAGACGGUUUUGCUGUCACUUAUAGAUGGAUCCGCGCCGCAUUAGCUAGUUGGUAAGGUAACGGCUUACCAAGGCGACGAUGCGUAGCCGACCUGAGAGAGUGAUCGGCGACACUGGAGCUGAGACACGGUCCAGACUCCUGCGGGAGGCAGCAGUAGGGAAUCUGCCGCAAUGGGCGAAAGCCUGACGGAGCAACGCCGCGUGAGUGGUGAAGGUCUUCGGAUCGUAAAGCUCUGUUAUUAGGGAAGAACAAAUGUGUAAGUAACUAUGCACUUCUUGACGGUACCUAAUCAGAAAGCCACGGCUAACUACGUG
This 497-nucleotide ribosomal RNA is filed under the name uncultured bacterium. Its description in RNAcentral is "partial 16S ribosomal RNA". It matches the Rfam family "Bacterial small subunit ribosomal RNA", at positions 28 to 507 of the family's 1533-position model. The record is from RNAcentral.